UGAAGACCUAAUGGAAUUAAUAAAAGAAAACAAAUAUUGGGUCCACCUGGAGAACAGCUGAAUAGGAAACCAUUUUCCAAAUACGUUACUUCCGGCCCAGAUUUCCACACAGAAGUCCUUCAGACCUGCAGGACCUGUGUUCAAAAGCACAGUCCUUGUUUGCCCUGUCUCCCAGCUUGUCUACUUCAAAAAACAAAGCUAAACUAAAGCCCACCGCCUGAAUGAUGUAAUAAAUAUUGCAGGAUGUAGAACUUUGUGAAUACACUGAGAAGUGAAACAUUUCAACACAAGAGCCCAGGGAACUCCCCUCAGCACUAGCCUGCAUGCUGUGGUUAGGUGGCAGAGAGAUACAGCUGGAGAUAUAGAGAUAACUGCCAGAGAAUGGGAAAAGCAGAAAAUUAGCCCAGACAGCCCCAGUGAUGUGGUUGGGCUGUUUCCCACACCUCAGAGUGCAUCUUCACAAUGGCACUGCAGCGUUCCUGCAGUUUUACGGAAAGCUGCUCACACGUGUCCACAUUGGUUCCUUCUGUCCUGCUGCUUGCAAUGGGGCUUGGGGAAGUCGGAAAGAGCACUGGCUCCUUCUGCACCUGCCCUCAGUCCAUCAGUGAUGGAUCGCUGCCUGUCUACUGAGUUAAACAACAGUUUUACUGCUUUAGAACUUGCAAGUGAAAAAUAGAGUAGUGUAAGACUGGAAGAAGGAAACCUCAUGAAUGGAUCUGAUGUAGUUUGGACAAAAGAUGCUGGGGGAGGACUACAGAGGAAGAAGUGGUAUUCAGUACAGCAUGAAGGCAGAAGAUGGCUCACAAAUGCUGGCUCAUUUCAACAGUAUCACACAGUGGAAAUGUUAGGAAGGUUCUGGCUGCUAGAAGUUCACCAAGUAAACACCAAGCACAGUGAUAGAAGGUGACUUUCAGUCAGGGAAGCUGGCGUGCAUGUUUUGGGACUGCUCCCCACAGUGAACCUCAGCAGGAAAAGUGGGAGGGAUCUGAUGCCAACCUUGAGUGCUAAGGUAUGCUUACUCUUUGCACUUACUAUGGCAGAGGGAGUAAUAAGAAGUGGAAAUAAAGCAUGGACAUUAUUUAAACCA
RNAcentral lists this long non-coding RNA (1087 nucleotides) under Phasianus colchicus (ring-necked pheasant). RNAcentral describes it as "lncRNA (ENSPCLG00000003741.1)". Lineage: Eukaryota; Metazoa; Chordata; Aves; Galliformes; Phasianidae. The record is from RNAcentral.